Molecule: long non-coding RNA, 525 nt
Organism: Hypanus sabinus (Atlantic stingray)
Lineage: Eukaryota; Metazoa; Chordata; Chondrichthyes; Myliobatiformes; Dasyatidae
Exons: 4
Source: RefSeq, a predicted model, not a curated record
CACAAUUUAAACAUUAAUUAACUGAAAUAAAUAGAUCCUUUCUACAGAAGAAUGAAUCAUAUCUCACAACUGGCUGUGGGUAUAGGGUGUAGAUACAUUCUAGCCUCAGUACAGCUGCAAGACUUAAAACUGCCAGACACAUGAAAAUGACUUUGAACAAUGAAUGAUGCUAAAAUCCCUGGAUUACUCUGCUGAAGCAUAGCACAAGAAUAAUAAUGAUGAGAGCCUGAAGCAACGUCAAGUUGUCUGGGGGAAGAUGAUAUGUUGCAAAGAUCGAUGCGCCAGGUGAUUCCGUUGGGACGUAGCUUUGCGGAGUAGUUAUGCUCCUGAUGGCAAUAAGCAGAAGCUGCUCCGUGCAAGAUCAAUUGGCACAUUCUGAGAAAUUUUAGUUCGAACAUCAGGGAAAAUGUUACUUGGACAAAAUAUUCCCAAUUCACAUGCAAAUAAAAUUGUUUGCACAAAUGGGUAAGGUCUUGCCUCAUUGAAACUCUGGCUCCCUUUAGGAUGUUCAUGCCGAGUCGUCAA